This 253-nucleotide ribosomal RNA is filed under the name uncultured bacterium. Its description in RNAcentral is "partial 16S ribosomal RNA". It matches the Rfam family "Bacterial small subunit ribosomal RNA", at positions 524 to 776 of the family's 1533-position model. The record is from RNAcentral.
UACGAAAGGUCCAAGCGUUACUCGGAAUUACUGGGCGUAAAGCGCGCGUAGGCGGCCUUGUAUGUCGAUUGUGAAAGCCCCGGGCUCAACCUGGGAACUGCAGUCGAAACUGCAAGGCUUGAAUGUUGGAGAGGUUGGGGGAAUACCUAGUGGAGAAGUGAAAUUCGUAGAGAUUAGGUGGAACACCAGAGGCGAAGGCGCCUGACUGGCCAAACAUUGACGCUGAGGCGCGAAAGCGUGGGUAGCAAACAGG